Molecule: long non-coding RNA, 921 nt
Filed under: Glycine max (soybean)
Lineage: Eukaryota; Viridiplantae; Streptophyta; Magnoliopsida; Fabales; Fabaceae
Description: long non-coding RNA (GMAX_LNC003637)
Source: RNAcentral
UGUAGGGUUAUGCAUAUGCACAGUCGUGCUUUGAAGCACUCUUCUUCCUUCUAAACUAGACUUCAAGUGAUGCAGAUCAUGCUUCAACAUUCACAAUCAUGCUUCGUUUAUGAAUCAAAGUCUUGUUUCCUUUUGCAUAACCAUGCUUUAGUGAAGCAGAACCGUGCCCUUUUUCCAAAGCAGGUGUGAAAUAGAUGCACGACUGUGCAUAGUUAAGCACAAUUGUGCCACAUGCUCUAGGAUAGCUUCUUGCUCUUUUUGAAACUUCCUUUUCUUUUCCAUAAAAGAGUCAUCUCCAUCUUGCUUCGAAGUUUCACUUUUUAGAUGAGAAAUAAUCAUUUAAAGUGCUAAAGAUAGCUACAUGGUGCGAGAAACCCCAUCAAUAAUCAUAUGUAAAAUAGGGUUUAUAAUCACCUUACCUUUUCUAUUAUUUGUAUGAAAGACCAUUCAUGUUUACUGAAAAAAAUAAAAGCAAAAGUUAGGAAUGAUAUUCAUGGUAUUAAGGUGGGUAGAGGUACUUCCAUUUUCACAAACUUUUUUGAUUAUUUGAUUAUUUGUUGAUGAUUGUUUCCAUUUUUUGUAUGACAAAUCAAAAGUAGGUGAGUCUUUACAUUAAUUCUUAAUCAAUUUGAGCAUGCCUUAGUCAAGCUAUUAACCUUCAAAAAUAUGAAAUAUUCUUCAGUAGGAACAGUCUUCAAAGCUCCCACAAUUUUGUCGGAGCCAAUGGUGUCUAGAUUGAUGCUAUUGAAGUAUUGGUUUCUUAAAUGUUGCAUAAUUUCUUAAAUGUAGCACUAAUGUUGCAAUCUUCAGGGAGCAACAACAUUUUUGGUGCUGGUUGUGCAUACGAAAGAGUAAUGGAGAUUUUGUUUUGGUUGAAACAUCAUGGAAGCAUGUUUCCCCACUAGUGUUCGAGGGAGAAAC